CGGGGGAGGGAUUUUGCAGGACAGGGACACAGAUGGUGGGGCGUCGCCGCUAGUGGCAGAAGAAGCCAAGCGGGUCGUCAGAAGGAGGAGAAGAAGAAGCACCCCCCAAAGCGGAAUCGAAGUGUGCCGGCGCGUGCUCACGGCGAAGACGGCAUCUUCCCAGCAGUUGACUUAUAUUGCAGAGAGCCGCCGACCUCAAGCUGGGUCAACACAAUGUGGGCUGGUGGUAUCCAGCGGUGCCAAAUCUGCAAGAAUGAUACGCUCGCAGAUAUCCCUCUCUCUCACACUUUCCCUUUGCUGCGCAGCCUGAUUGCUCCUGAUUGCAGAUGCGUCAGUGACAACCCAGCAUUUCGCCACUGCAGAGCCUGACAUUUGUGCACCCGUUUGUCUUCCAUCAUCAUCCGCUGCUGCCCUGCCCAUCGUCUCCUUUGUUGCUUUGGAUUCUCACGUCCCGACAGAACCUUUGCUUCUUUCGUGAUUUUUGGAGUUUCGUUUUAGGGUUUCGAUUUAGGGUUACAGAUUCACUUCGACCGCUAUACACUGAACAUUGUGCUCAUCCUGGUCUCCUUGUUUGUUGAAUUGUAUACUAUCAAAGGUGAAUUGUUUUACUUUGUUUGUUUUGUGUCCCGUAUUUAAUUUUGGGACUUAUUAGAUGGAUAUCACCUUUUACUAUGUAGAUAUCAUGUUCCUUGCCACUCCCAUAGACAAAAUAAUACUAUUCUCUUUUGGAACAACAUUUUUUAGAGCAAUACAUCAAAAAGCUUUCACAAAAUGAACAAAAUAAAGUGAAUUUGUAAAUUGCACGUA
Molecule: long non-coding RNA, 807 nt
Filed under: Physcomitrium patens
Lineage: Eukaryota; Viridiplantae; Streptophyta; Bryopsida; Funariales; Funariaceae
Description: long non-coding RNA (PPAT_LNC006536)
Source: RNAcentral